UACGGAGGGUGCAAGCGUUAAUCGGAAUCACUGGGCGUAAAGCGUGCGUAGGCGGCCUGCCAAGUCAGGUGUGAAAGCCCUCCGCUCAACGGAGGAAUUGCACUUGAAACUGGUAGGCUGGAGUCUCGGAGAGGGUGGCGGAAUUCCCGGUGUAGGAGUGAAAUCCGUAGAUAUCGGGAGGAACACCAGUGGCGAAGGCGGCCACCUGGACGAUGACUGACGCUGAGGUACGAAAGCGUGGGGAGCAAACAGGAUUAGAUACCCGCGUAGU
RNAcentral lists this ribosomal RNA (271 nucleotides) under uncultured bacterium. RNAcentral describes it as "partial 16S ribosomal RNA". It matches the Rfam family "Bacterial small subunit ribosomal RNA", at positions 524 to 794 of the family's 1533-position model. The record is from RNAcentral.